GGCCCAUCUCUUGCUGAACAAAUCUCACCGGUAGCCAACGGCGGUUACCCCACUUGAAUCCCGACAAAGACGUCGC
Regulatory RNA element from Pseudomonas putida KT2440, 76 nucleotides. It matches the Rfam family "narK RNA". The record is from Rfam. NCBI's taxonomy places the organism in Bacteria, Pseudomonadati, Pseudomonadota, Gammaproteobacteria, Pseudomonadales, Pseudomonadaceae.